CGCGUAGGCGGCCGAGCGGGUCGCGGGUGAAAUCCCCCAGCUUAACUGGGGAACUGCCCUCGAUACCACUGCGGCCCGAGGAAGGAGGGGGUCAUGGGAACUGUCGGUGGAGCGGUGAAAUGCGUUGAUAUCGACAGGAACGCCGGUGGCGAAAGCGCAUGACUGGUCCUUAUCUGACGCUGAGGCGCGAAAGCCAGGGGAGCAAACGGGAUUAGAUACCCCGGUAGUCCUGGCCUUAAACGAUGAGAACUAGGUAGUGGGUCCGACCUGGGCACACUGCCGAAGCGAAAGUCUUAAGUUCUCCGCCUGGGGAGUAUGGUCGCAAGGCUGAA
RNAcentral lists this ribosomal RNA (332 nucleotides) under uncultured bacterium. RNAcentral's name for it is "bacterial SSU rRNA". It matches the Rfam family "Bacterial small subunit ribosomal RNA", at positions 568 to 898 of the family's 1533-position model. The record is from RNAcentral.